Non-coding RNA from Monodelphis domestica (gray short-tailed opossum), 579 nucleotides. The record is from the annotation of a RefSeq genome assembly. NCBI's taxonomy places the organism in Eukaryota, Metazoa, Chordata, Mammalia, Didelphimorphia, Didelphidae.
AUGCACAACUUUGCCAUGGUUGUACUCCUCAUUGUCUUUCCUGAGUCUUGUCUCUUUGGGGAAAAACCUGCAGUUAAGAGUCAGCUGUUCUGCCUCCUGCUUCUCUGGGUCCCAGGUUCCAGAGGGGCCGUUGGGCUGACCCAGUCUCCAUCCUCCCUGGCUGUGUCUCCAGGAGAGAUGGUCACCCUGUCCUGCAGGGCCACUCAGAGCGUUGGUAAUAACAUGACCUGGUACCAACAUCCCCCAGGCCAGUCUCCCAGGCCCCUCAUUUACUAUGCUUCCACCCUGCACUCUGGGGUCCCUGCCAGGUUCAGUGGCAGUGGCUCUGGGACAGAUUUCUCUCUUACCAUCAGUGCUGUGGAACCAGAGGACAUCAGGGACUCUUACUGCCUGGAGUGGAAAAGCUGGCCUGUCCAGUGCUCUAGGGCUGAACAAAAACCUGCCCAGGCAGCUGCUGAGGGAGCCUCCACUGUCCCAGGGGAUCCUCCUUCCCCCACAGCUGGGGCAGCUUGUCUGGGCUGCCUCAGAGGGAGGUUUCUAGGUCUCACAGGAGUCUGCUGGGUCUGGUGUGGGUGCUGA